Molecule: small RNA, 28 nt
Filed under: Bombyx mori (domestic silkworm)
Lineage: Eukaryota; Metazoa; Arthropoda; Insecta; Lepidoptera; Bombycidae
Description: ovarian small RNA-33788
Source: RNAcentral
UGCCGCUGGUUCUGGUCGUGCUGCCGGU